This 468-nucleotide ribosomal RNA is filed under the name uncultured bacterium. RNAcentral's name for it is "partial 16S ribosomal RNA". It matches the Rfam family "Bacterial small subunit ribosomal RNA", at positions 28 to 507 of the family's 1533-position model. The record is from RNAcentral.
GACGAACGCUGGCGGCGUGCUUAACACAUGCAAGUCGAACGGAAAGGCCCUGCUUUUGUGGGGUGCUCGAGUGGCGAACGGGUGAGUAACACGUGAGUAACCUGCCCUUGACUUUGGGAUAACUUCAGGAAACUGGGGCUAAUACCGGAUAGGAGCUCCUGCUGCAUGGUGGGGGUUGGAAAGUUUCGGCGGUUGGGGAUGGACUCGCGGCUUAUCAGCUUGUUGGUGGGGUAUUGGCUUACCAAGGCUUUGACGGGUAGCCGGCCUGAGAGGGUGACCGGCCACCUUGCGACUGAGGUACGGCCCAGACUCCUACGGGAGGCAGCAGUGGGGAAUAUUGCACAAUGGGCGGAAGCCUGAUGCAGCAACGCCGCGUGCGGGAUGACGGCCUUCGGGUUGUAAACCGCUUUCGCCUGUGACGAAGCGUGAGUGACGGUAAUGGGUAAAGAAGCACCGGCUAACUACGUG